This is a long non-coding RNA of Zerene cesonia (dogface butterfly), 671 nucleotides long. RefSeq lists it as uncharacterized. The record is from RefSeq and is a predicted model, not a curated record. NCBI's taxonomy places the organism in Eukaryota, Metazoa, Arthropoda, Insecta, Lepidoptera, Pieridae. The transcript has 3 exons.
UCGAGUUGAUACGUCGCAAGCACCGAGAGCGCCGCGUGGCCUCUUCCUGAAAUUGACAACCAAAUAAAUUGCAAGAUCAAAGCUCAGUACUUAGAAAACAUAUCGCAGAAGGGGCGGUUCUACGUCAUGUAUGGAGACGAUCGGAAACGGAAGUGACGACAGUCGGCGAUAGGAAGAGAUGCACGGCGCCGGGAUAGCCCACUUCCUGAACGCUGCCUUCACUUAUCUCCGCAGGGUAGCCUCGCCCCUGCAUACGUUCAAAGAUUUCUACAUGCGACCCAUUACCAGAAGCACGGAUACGCGUUCAGAUGACCCCAAUCGGUACGUGUGUCCCCAUCCGGCACCCCGAGGGAUGUAAUAAAAUUUGCAUACUUUUAAUCAAGGGCCGUGUCGCGGAGAAGUUUGCCAAUAUCGGACCGCCGUGAUCGAUCUCAUACCCGCUUGUCGUCGCAUUACAACGCUGUUUACUGAACAAACGAUGUGAUAAUGUGUCAUCAUAAGGCUUUUGCACAUUAUGUCGCUAAAGCUUGUUUUGAAACUAUUGUUAUUGAGAUGUGCUAACAGUUACAGCGACUAGUAAGGAAGAAGGGCGGAGGUUUAGAUAAUAUUGACUUUUUCCUUUUUAAGUAGGCAUAUUGAGUAAACAUGAAUGAGAUAAUAAUUGUAUAGUU